GGUACUCUAGCCUGGGCAACAGAGUGAGACUCCAUGUCAAAAAAAAAAAAAAAAACCAAAGAUAAAAUAUGUAAAAUUUCAUUAUAGAUGAGUAUUAACAGAUGAGAAUUUGCAAUCAAUUUUGAUGAUAGGUAAAAUAAACCUUGAAUCUCAAUUAAGCAAAAUGCUAUUUCCCAGUAAAUAAUUCAAUUGUUUUUAUCAGUAGAUUCAUAUUAUAAGUCUACUUAAUUAUUCUUAGGUUUUUAUUUUAGUCAAUAAAAAUAUGGAAAUGUGGCUUCUUGUUUGAUAUAUAAGCAGACAUAUGAUAUCUUCAAUUUUGCCUUUUGGCCAAUGAAGCCUAAAACUUUUACUAUCUGAUAUUUUACCAAAAUAAUUUGCACCCUGCUUUGUCAUUGACUGUCAUAAAUUAUCAACUGAAGUGUUCUUGAGUAGAAAAGUUUUACCUGUCUUCUACUUAGGUACAAGCAACUGAGGCUCUGUAGAGUACUUAACACCUUUGCUGAUAACUUGUACACUAUCAUUUCCACAUUGCUCUUUGAUCUUCCCUUUAAACAUUCUUGUCAUUCAUCCUUGCCUUAGAGCCUCUGCCCUAGAUAAUCUUUCUGUCUGAACCUCUUGUCUUCUAACAUCUGUCUCUUUCUCACCAUUUAAAUCUCAUAAAUAAUAUUAGCUCUUCAGAAAGACCUUCUCUAAGCACUAUAUACAAUGCUGCCCAUCCCACCAGACCCCAUAAGUAAUAUCUCUAUAUUUAAAUUUUCUUUAAAAUAUGUAACACUAUAUUAAUAAAUGUAUUCAUUUAUUUGUAUAUUUAUUAAAAGUUGGUCUCCCAGUUUUCCCUAUGAUAAAUAUUUAUAAGAAAACAAUGAUUUUUUUUUCCAAUUACUGAAUGACUUAAGUAGAUUAUACUUUGCGACUGUAGGAACUAUGACAUAAUUUUAGCACAGUGGUUAAUACAUAUUUAAUAAUGCAAAAUGAAUGAUUAAUUAGAUUCUACUUGUUGCUAACAAUUUCUAGUCAGGACUAAAGGAACUAACACUUCUGUACUCAUAAAUUAAUAAAAAGUCACUUUGAAUUGACUCAUAGUUUUCAUUUAUCAUGCACUCCUCUAAUUUUCCUUCCCAUUUUGGUUUUUAUUCUGAUUUAAUUCAUUUUUUUAAUCAAUUGUGAUCAACAAAUCAUAUAUGUGAUAGGAAGAUAACAGGUUCUCACAGGUCCUGAGAAUAACCUUGUACAAAAAUAGAUUUUUGAUUUAAAUUGCCUAUUACCAUAGAGUCAAAAUAUGCUUUUGUAAAUCUAUAACUUGACAGUUGUGAUUCUGCUCUAUUUGAACUUAACUAGUCAUUCCACUACAAGUAACAUUAUAACUGGUAUUUUGCUUUUAAUUUAGCUACCUCAGACUUGUCCUUAUUGACCUUCACCCCUGAUUUUAUGUAACUAUUUAUCUAACCUGCCAAGACCAUGACAAAUGCCCCCAGGGUAUACUGUGAUUGAAUGUGAAAUUUCUGCAGUGAGAAGAAUCCCCCUAGGCAAUGUUAAGAAAGACACCAGAAAACUCUGACCCUUAAAUUUAAGUCUAGUUGGUUUCCCAUUAAUUCAGAAGUCCUAAAAUAAAGAAGAAAUGUGCCACCUUUAUACAUGCAGAUGCAUACACAGGAUAUGCCAAUAAGUGGAGCAUCUAGUAUUGUGCAUCAGAUGCAAAAUAACUAGGGGGAAAAAAAAGCAAAGCACAUGCUGCUUUUUAAAAUAAAAUGUUUUACAAUAUGUAGAAUUAUGUUUUUUUGUUUGUUUGUUUUUUGAGACGGCGUCUCGCUCUGUUGCCCAGGCU
This 1825-nucleotide long non-coding RNA is filed under the name Homo sapiens (human). Its description in RNAcentral is "HSALNT0373765". Lineage: Eukaryota; Metazoa; Chordata; Mammalia; Primates; Hominidae. The record is from RNAcentral.